Long non-coding RNA from Pseudoliparis swirei, 702 nucleotides. RefSeq lists it as uncharacterized. Lineage: Eukaryota; Metazoa; Chordata; Actinopteri; Perciformes; Liparidae. The transcript has 3 exons. The record is from RefSeq and is a predicted model, not a curated record.
UGGGCGAAAGGCUCGUUUAUUAAUAAAAAAGAAGAUAAUACAAUAUAAAAUAAGCACAAGCUCGUGCACAUAAGUGAGCUGACUGACAGCUAGCACAGGUUUAACUAGACUCCAUGUUAGCUGACAGUCCGCCAAUGUUAUUUAACCUUGAUCAGCCUGGAUCAGUGUUUAGCUCGCAUCAUGGCAACACACACACAUUGUGUCGGUACGGAGGCGAUACAUGACGCGAUGUUGUCCUGAACAGCAGCGACGAGCAGCAGCAGAUAGUUAACGACGUUGUUCAUCUGAGAAGGAGCUCAGACGUGAAGUAGCGUCGCAAACUUUAACUUUAGCUUUCGGCUCACGCUAAAAAGAAGCUGGUCGAAGGGAGCGGCCGGGUUUCACACGAGAAGCAUGGCAGCCAAGUGACGCGUUGAUGUACUCACUGUGCAAAUCUCAGACUCUGCAGAGUUGGGAAACUCAGAAUAACUGCAGCCAUCGCGACCAGCUGCUGAGACUCGCUGCUAGCUAGCUAGCUGAUCAGGACUCGUAGUAUCGAGCGGCCAAUGAGGAAGAAGGAUAUGCAGUGGCCACAAGUCACCAGCAGAGGGCAGCGUUCCUCCGUCAAAUAGGAGCUCAGAGCCUAUCGUAUCCUUCUCUACGGCGGUCUUUGAUGAAGAGGAAGGUCAUCACAGUGAUCAGAAAGAGACCCACUCCUGUGGC